GCAUAUCAAUAAGCGGAGGAAAAGAAACCAACAGGGAUUGCCCCAGUAACGGCGAGUGAAGCGGCAACAGCUCAAAUUUGAAAUCUGGCUCUCGGGCCCGAGUUGUAAUUUGUAGAGGAUGCUUUUGGUGAGGUGCCUUCCGAGUUCCCUGGAACGGGACGCCAUAGAGGGUGAGAGCCCCGUCUGGUUGGACGCCGAACCUCUGUAAAGCUCCUUCGACGAGUCGAGUAGUUUGGGAAUGCUGCUCUAAAUGGGAGGUAUAUGUCUUCUAAAGCUAAAUACCGGCCAGAGACCGAUAGCGCACAAGUAGAGUGAUCGAAAGAUGAAAAGAACUUUGAAAAGAGAGUUAAACAGUACGUGAAAUUGUUGAAAGGGAAGCGCUUGUGACCAGACUUGGGCUUGGUUGAUCAUCCGGGGUUCUCCCCGGUGCACUCUUCCGGCCCAGGCCAGCAUCAGUUCGCCCUGGGGGACAAAGGCAUCGGGAACGUGGCUCUCUCCGGGGAGUGUUAUAGCCCGUUGCGUAAUACCCUGCGGCGGACUGAGGUUCGCGCAUUCGCAAGGAUGCUGGCGUAAUGGUCAUCAGUGACCCGUCUUGAAACACGGACCAAGGAGUCGUCUUCGUAUGCGAGUGUUCGGGUGUCAAACCCCUACGCGAAAUGAAAGUGAACGCAGGUGAGAGCUUCGGCGCAUCAUCGACCGAUCCUGAUGUUAUCGGAUGGAUUUGAGUAAGAGCAUACGGGGCCGGACCCGAAAGAAGGUGAACUAUGCCUGUGUAGGGUGAAGCCAGAGGAAACUCUGGUGGAGGCUCGCAGCGGUUCUGACGUGCAAAUCGAUCGUCAAACAUGGGCAUGGGGGCGAAAGACUAAUCGAACCUUCUAGUAGCUGGUUUCGC
This 892-nucleotide ribosomal RNA is filed under the name Fusarium vanettenii. RNAcentral's name for it is "partial large subunit ribosomal RNA". It matches the Rfam family "Eukaryotic large subunit ribosomal RNA", at positions 38 to 960 of the family's 3401-position model. The record is from RNAcentral. Lineage: Eukaryota; Fungi; Ascomycota; Sordariomycetes; Hypocreales; Nectriaceae.